UACGAACGGUCCAAACGUUAUUCGGAAUCACUGGGCUUAAAGCGUCCGUAGGCGGCUCGGAAAGUAGGGUGUGAAAUCCCACGGCUCAACCGUGGAAUUGCGCUCUAAACUAUCGAGCUAGAGGGAGAUAGAGGUGAGCGGAACUGAUGGUGGAGCGGUGAAAUGCGUUGAUAUCAUCAGGAAGACCAGUGGCGAAGGCGGGUCUCUGGACAGUUCCUGACGCUGAGGCACGAAGGCCAGGGGAGCAAACGGG
This 253-nucleotide ribosomal RNA is filed under the name uncultured bacterium. RNAcentral's name for it is "partial 16S ribosomal RNA". It matches the Rfam family "Bacterial small subunit ribosomal RNA", at positions 524 to 776 of the family's 1533-position model. The record is from RNAcentral.